AGAAUCAACGCUGGCGGCGUGCCUAACACAUGCAAGUCGAACGAGAAAGUGGAGCAAUCCAUGAGUACAGUGGCGACCGGGUGAGUAACACGUGACUACCUACCCUUGAGUGGGGGAUAACCUCGGGAAACCGAGGCUAAUACCGCAUAAUAUCGAGAGAUCAAAGGAGCAAUUCGCUUUUGGAGGGGGUCGCGGCUGAUUAGCUAGUUGGCGGGGUAAUGGCCCACCAAGGCGAAGAUCGGUAUCCGGCCUGAGAGGGCGCACGGACACACUGGAACUGAAACACGGUCCAGACUCCUACGGGAGGCAGCAGUGGGGAAUUUUGCGCAAUGGGCGCAAGCCUGAUGCAGCAACGCCGCGUGAGGGAUGACGGCCUUCGGGUUGUAACCUCUUUAGUAGGAAGAAGCGAAGUGACGGUACCUGCAGAAAAGCACCGGACUAACUACGCGCCAGCAGCCGC
Molecule: ribosomal RNA, 460 nt
Filed under: uncultured bacterium
Lineage: Bacteria
Description: SSU rRNA
Rfam family: Bacterial small subunit ribosomal RNA
Source: RNAcentral